UACGUGAGUGACGGGAUGCACCCAGAGGCGCAGCUGGACGACUCUGCUGACCGCUGGCUCACCUAUAAUGACUCCGAGGUCAUAGAGACUACAGGGGCCUCUGUCUGCCAACGUCGUCAGAGAGCGGCCUACAUCCUGCUCUACCAGCGACGGAUGUAGAGCAGCCUGGGAUAGUGGGACUUUAUGUGGCGGGCUCCUGAGGAACAUGUAGCCCAGGUGAGCAGCCACGGGAACUUCACAGGUAAGCUUGUUGUUUCCCUUCCCAUUGUCUUUCUGCAGGUGCUGAAGGUGUAGCUCUGAGAUGGACAAGCAGCUCGUCUCGUGGCCUGAAGCAGCAGGAGGUCCCCCAGCCUACAGGAGGAGGGUUGACUGGAAAUAAAUACAGAGAGAGAGUUGUGACCGUGGCCCCUCACGCCCAGAGAGUUGUGGCCCCUCACGCCCAGAGAGUUGUGACCGUGGCCCCUCACGUCUAGAGAGUUGUGACCG
Long non-coding RNA from Anoplopoma fimbria (sablefish), 486 nucleotides. RefSeq lists it as uncharacterized. The transcript has 3 exons. The record is from RefSeq and is a predicted model, not a curated record. Lineage: Eukaryota; Metazoa; Chordata; Actinopteri; Perciformes; Anoplopomatidae.